AUCAAUUCAUGAUUGUUCAAAUAGAACGAAAAAAUAUACAUCGUUUCAAACAUUGCAAAGCAUAAUCUCCUGUGACUAAAUGGCUGCACCGAGGCUCAAAAUAUUUUAGAUAAAUAUUAAACAAAAUCAGAAACUUUAUAUGAGAGUUUCUCUGGAGUAUGCUGUCUUUUUUAGCAAUUUGUUCCUAAAAAACAUGAAUAUUUUCUCUCAAAACCUUGAUUGAGUAUACAAACACCACUGCAAAAUGGAUGCAGAAAGUAGUAAGAGCCUGGUUUAGCUCUCUCCCCAAAAUCAUGUAUGGGAUUUUCCAUAGAGGUUUGCAUAGACAAUCUUAGUCCGAUGCACAAGAAUCAUGCU
Molecule: unclassified non-coding RNA, 357 nt
Filed under: Hevea brasiliensis (rubber tree)
Lineage: Eukaryota; Viridiplantae; Streptophyta; Magnoliopsida; Malpighiales; Euphorbiaceae
Source: RNAcentral